This 533-nucleotide ribosomal RNA is filed under the name uncultured bacterium. RNAcentral's name for it is "bacterial SSU rRNA". It matches the Rfam family "Bacterial small subunit ribosomal RNA", at positions 773 to 1304 of the family's 1533-position model. The record is from RNAcentral.
AGUGAAUAGAUACCCCGGUAGUCCACGCUGUAAACGAUGGAUACUAGGUGUAGGGGGCGUAGCCCUCUGUGCCGCAGUUAAACACAUUAAGUAUCCCGCCUGGGGAGUACGAUCGCAAGAUUAAAACUCAAAGGAAUUGACGGGGGCCCGCACAAGCAGCGGAGCAUGUGGUUUAAUUCGACGCAACGCGAAGAACCUUACCAAGGCUUGACAUCUGUAGAAUUCGGUAGAAAUACUGAAGUGCCCUUUCGGGGGAACUGCAAGACAGGUGGUGCAUGGUUGUCGUCAGCUCGUGUCGUGAGAUGUUAGGUUAAGUCCUGCAACGAGCGCAACCCCUGUUGUUAGUUGCUACAAUUAAGUUGAGUACUCUAACGAGACUGCCGAGGUUAACUCGGAGAAAGGUGGGGAUGACGUCAAAUCAUCAUGCCCUUUAUGCCUUGGGCCACACACGUGCUACAAUGGCCGGUACAAAGAGAAGCAAGGCAGCGAUGCGGAGCAAAUCUCAAAAACCGGGUCCCAGUUCGGAUUGCAGG